GGCUUCGAUCAGGCCGCAGCCCCCCGUCCCCUCUCUGUCUCUCUUUAAAACCUUUUCCCUCUCAAGUCAAAAAGACUAGAUCACGAAGAAAAGCAGAGAAAAAACUCUCCGAUCUCCGACGGCGACGGCGGCGAUGUCCGCCUCCUUCCAGCGAGUUCCCAAUCUCCAGAUUCCCUCCUCGCCGUCCGAUCGCCGCCUCCGAUGGUCCCACCACCACCGCUUGAUCCCCCCUUCUUUGCUUCAGCAUCGCGAUGCGAUCGCGGUCACCGGAGCUCUCCGAUCCGUGGACCCGAGAAGCGGGAUCCGGUUUCUUGAUCCGGUCGUCCUCCGGUCCGCCGACGGCGGACCGCGGAGGAGGAGGGGAUCGGUGGUGCGGGGAUGCGCGCUGGGGGCCAGGGUCGGCGAUGUGGAGGUGGAGCGGCGGCGGAAGAGGAGGGCGGAGGUGGUGGUGGCGGCGGCCAUGACGGCGUUGCUGGGGACCGGGAACCGGGUGCUCUACAAGCUCGCGCUGGUGCCUCUCAAGCAGUACCCUUUCUUUCUCGCCCAGCUCGCCACGUUCGGAUAUGUGGUGGUUUACUUCUCUAUCCUGUAUGCUCGCUAUCAUUCUGGCAUUGUUACUGAUGAGAUGCUUUCUCUACCAAAGACUCCAUAUCUAGCUGUAGGACUCUUGGAGGCUCUGGGAGCAGUAUCUGGAAUGGCAGCUGGAGCUGUUCUUUCUGGAGCGUCAAUUCCAAUAUUAUCUCAGACCUUUCUUGUUUGGCAGCUUCUGCUAUCAGUUAUUUUUCUUGGGAGACGAUAUAGAUUCAACCAAAUACUCGGUUGUUUUCUUGUAACCAUUGGUGUGGUAAUAACUGUAGCAAGUGGAUCUGGCGCUGGUGAUUCAUUGAAAAAUGCUGGAAUUUUUUGGGCACUAUUGAUGAUAAUCUCAUUUUUGUUUCAAGCUGCUGAUACAGUGUUGAAGGAAACAAUAUUUUUGGAUGCUGCUAAGAAAUUGGAGGGGGGAUCAGUUGAUCUUUUUGUUGUGAACUCUUUCGGAUCUGCUUUCCAAGCACUAUUCAUAUGUCUCUUACUACCUUUCUUGUCAAAGUUAUGGGGUGUUCCUUUCAAUCAGUUGCCAACUUACAUUAGAGAUGGAGCAGCCUGCUUCCUAAAUAUAGGAUCAUUAUCAAGUGGAUGUGAAGGAGCACCGGUGCUACCACUGUUGUUUGUCAUUGUUAACAUGGCAUUCAAUAUAUCAUUGCUACAUCUUCUCAAGAUCUCUUCAGCAGUGGUCUCUUGCCUUGCCUCCACUUUUUCAGUUCCCCUCUCCAUCUACGCCUUCACGCUGCCGUUGCCAUACAUCGGAGUGGCGUCAUCGUUGCCGGCAGGUUUUGUCGCGGGGGCGGUGGUACUUGUGGCUGGCCUCCUCCUCUACUCCUGGACUCCACCCUCAAGUCCUGCCACCCAAGCACAGCCACAGCCACCAUCACUGGCCCAAGGAUAGAGAUCACAUCAUUUCUUCUUUUUUUGCCUAUUUUUUUCUUCUUUUCCUACAUUUAAGAAGGUAGUAUAAAUCUCUGGCACUGGGCAGAACAGAAGUUCUCGUGGUGGCAGCCAACCUGUUUGUGGUAUUCAUAUUUAAUGGGAUAAGAGGAGAAGGCGAAAUGAUGGAAUAGAUGACACGGAUGACCACAUCUCGACCAUGUUUCAUGUGGUACAUGAUUCUGCAUGGAAGUUCUUUUGGAUGGUGGGGUUUGAUUCAUGGCUGAGGAGGGACGUCAGAAUAUGCUGAUAUGGUGUGGGCUGGGUGGAGAGCAAGGAAGACAAGGAGGAGCACCAUUGCAACAGGGAUCAAGAGGAGGAGAGGCGGCGGCGGCGGCAAAGGAGGCAGCACAAGCGGCAACAGUAGAAGAACUGCCGUCAGCAGCACCAGCGCCAGCGCUGCCUUCGCACCGAGAGGCAUCGACCCUCCUCUUCCUCCUACGGCAACUGCUGCUCCUGUUAUAUCUCACCCUUCUUCACGAAGGAGAUGAGGUUACUCCCAACCAGAUCAGUCCUCUCUUCCCUUAUGCCUCCACUGAAGUCAUACUCCAUGAGCUUAUCAUCUCUCUCUCUCUCUCUCUCUGUGCAUGUAUUUGUGGUGCCAACGACUAGCAAUUGGCACGCGUUAGAGGAAAAAGCCAGUGAACGGAGGGAGAUUCUGAGGCUGGGCAGCUGAUGGAUUGGGAGGAUCCAAAAAAUAAGGAGAAAGAGUGAAGGUUGUGUGCAAGCCUAGAUCUGAAAACAAACAGAGCAUGGAAGUUAUGGAGAGAUGCAAUGGAUUGGAACAUAUAAGGUCUAGGGGACCUGAUUGUUUAUUAAUAUGGUACAAUAAGUUCUGCCAAGGUCAGGAUACCUGAAAGUCUUAGGUAAACUACAAACCUCGUACCCUCUUGUGUUUCCAUUCAAUAAAUAAAACCAAGAGGAGCCCCUUGUUUA
Phoenix dactylifera (date palm) is the source of this 2457-nucleotide non-coding RNA. Lineage: Eukaryota; Viridiplantae; Streptophyta; Magnoliopsida; Arecales; Arecaceae. The record is from RefSeq and is a predicted model, not a curated record.